GGAACUCGUAUCUUAAUCCGAUGAUCCCCGUUAAUUCUCUCUACAAUUCAGUAUUCAUAUCGCCGUUUUCAGAUGAAAUUUUGAUUUUUUAUCUUCAUAGAUCUCCUUUUACGUCAGGUCGAGAUAAAGCCUAUAUUAUAGCGAGCCGAGUUACAAAUUUUUGACAAAAACAUUUUACCGUUCAACAACAUUAAAUUUUUAGGAUUUGACAGUAAUUAAAAAGCAAUUUUUUUUUAUGAACUUUUCUUAAAGGUGUACAUAUCGCCCGUCACCCUCGUCCAAAGAUGAGGUAAGUCGUAACAAAGUUAAUAUACUGGAAAGUGUAUUAAGGG
Molecule: ribosomal RNA, 332 nt
Filed under: Nhandu chromatus
Lineage: Eukaryota; Metazoa; Arthropoda; Arachnida; Araneae; Theraphosidae
Description: partial 12S ribosomal RNA
Source: RNAcentral